UGUAACUGAUGAGGAUAGGCUUCUAUCCUGUACGUGGACCAGCAUUCAUGGAACACUGAAACCUACCAGCCAAGAUGUUCUCAGACAGCAGAGCAACRAUGCUGACUUGUGUGAUUAUCACCAACUGAGGUAAUAUUUUUUGGCUCAAGAACUUUGAAUGCUAAGGAAAGUGCAAUUUCCGAAUGACACUGAGGAAAUCCUCCUUUUAGGAAAAACUGUGUGUGGGAACUUYCCUGAAAGCAUCCUCAGGUUGGUAUAUGCGUGUGGAGGAAAUCAUUGUCGGAAUAACAUUAAAUAUUCCCUCUCCCAGAGAACUACCACGGUAAGUGCAUGGAGACUCCUGGAAGGCAUAAAACAAAACGGGGUUAAGGUCUCUUAUUCUAUAGUACUGUCUCUCGAAUGAUCGCAUGUAAACGUACCUUUUUUGGUGAACCGUCCUCCUCCUCGGGUGUUCUUUCUCUCCGUCCUCGUGAGCUCCCCCCGCUGCUGCGGUCGCAGGUGUCUCUCCAGCCCCC
This 515-nucleotide long non-coding RNA is filed under the name Dromaius novaehollandiae (emu). Its description in RNAcentral is "lncRNA (ENSDNVG00000004099.1)". The record is from RNAcentral. Lineage: Eukaryota; Metazoa; Chordata; Aves; Casuariiformes; Dromaiidae.